RNAcentral lists this long non-coding RNA (2157 nucleotides) under Anser brachyrhynchus (Pink-footed goose). RNAcentral's name for it is "lncRNA (ENSABRG00000007853.1)". The record is from RNAcentral. Lineage: Eukaryota; Metazoa; Chordata; Aves; Anseriformes; Anatidae.
AUCAGUCUUCCCACUGUGCCUCCUGCAAGCACAAGCAGGAUGAAAACAGGAUUCAGGAUGAAAAUAGGCCUGAUCUGGCUCAUUGAAUUGUGCUUGUGUGGGCUGGGACAGGAAUUGGAGGCUAGAGGCAGAGGAGUCGACAGAAGCAGCUUGUGGUAGCACUGCCGUUGAUGGAAAUAUCUGUGACUGGAGUCCUGGUUAUCAGCUGCAUGGGACAGUGUGUCAGCAUCAACUCCAUUUCCUGGUGCUCCAUGUGGCCAAAGAACAAACCUGAAGCAACUUCUCAAGGGCACGCAGCAACUGGUGGAAGAGCUCUGCAGUUGGAUGUCAGAUUUGUUUACCUUAGGCAUCUUCCAUCUUCGCCACCACUGCUGAAUCAGUCUUCCUUUAUGAAGCACGAUGUCCCCUUUGCAGUAGGCUGGAAAUGUGAGACGUGCUUAGGAGCAGUGCCUGGCCUGGGAAAAAGAAAUGCACCCCUCCCACCUAAGUACCACUGCAGUCCAGAUCCAGUAGAUGCACACAGCUUCACAUUUGCUGCUCUCGCUUACUGAUCUGGCCAUUCUCAAGGAAGUUCUCAUCCAGGAGUCACGAAGUUGCAAUGCAGAGAUAAGUGUCAGUACCUUCAAUUUUACAGAUCAGAAAACUGCAACACAGAAAUGUAAAAUGAGUCACUCCAGAUGUAGUUUUCUCAUGGUGUUCUCAUUUAUAAAGCUCAGGACUGGUCCACACUAGUGUUUUAUCUGAUUUACCUGGUUUUUCUGUCCCUCUGGGGAACGUAUCUUUGACCACAGUCAGUAUAUAUCCUGCGACAGAGUCUGAUUAGAUUUGCAUAGUGGGGAGAUAAAACCAGUGAGUGUGUAAGUGCUGAAGUGCAGCUCUUCAUCACAAUUGGCAAUAGUGCUGUUAGUUUAGUUCACCCUGGAAGAUGGUCUGAUCCUUACUAGAUUUAUCACUGGCAAAGAUGUGAUUGCUGAUCCCACUGCAGAUUUGUUUUUAAAUUAUUACUUUGCUUAAAGGCACAAUGUGUCUCAGUACUUUCUGUUAUAAUUGUAAAUACCAUUUUUUUUCUCAAAGACCCAGUGGAAUUUUUUCAUAGACGUUUCUGAAGCCAUUAGAAUCGAGGAGCCCCUGCUGGCACAGAGUAUCAAUAAUUGUUUCAAAACCUUCUUCUUAGUCACUUUGCAAAGACUGUUUCUCUAUAUCUUGUACAAUUGCAAAUAUUGUAGAACAUUUAAUUCUGUAUGGUCUUCCAACUUAGAUGUUAUCAAAAUGAAUAGAAAAACUGAAGUUCAGUUCGUGUUACAGAUAAAAGUGAAGAACAUAUGGUUUUCAAAAAGGACAUAUGGAUACAAAUGUACGUAUUUAUACAAACAUGUUCCGAUUAGCUCAGACUUUUCCUUUCUUUCUCUUGUGAUCAAAAUGUGAUAAGGCACAUAGGAUAGUGUAGUCCCUACAGGACCAGAUCUGAGCCUUGCAAAAGACAUUAGAAAGACUUCCAGUGAUUCCUCUGAACCUCAGACCAGAUCUUUGUUGUUGGAUAAACAUUAGUGAACAAUUUAGACUAGCUUCAUGCAAAACCUGUGUAUAUAAUGAAGAUGCAGAGUAUUUUAAAUGCAAUGUCAAUUCUAUUUUGAAUGUGUACUUCCACUACAUGACUAAAUAUAUAAAUUAACCUAUGCAAAAUAAGCUUAACAAAAUACAGGUAAAAAACAACCUGGAGAGUAAAUUUAUAGAGAUGACAACAUGAACACAGGUAUUUGCUAUGGAAAUACAGGUUGAUUAUUAAGUUAUCCCGAUUCACUUCUUAGAGAAAUCAAUAGAAGAUUCACUCUGUUUUAAUGGGAACAGCACUAGCCACCUUGUAUACCAGAUUGAGAUCUUCAGCGCAACAUGUAAGGAAAUAAGUCGGUUAGUAAAUAAGUGUCCAUAGAUUUACACCAGCUAUGUAAGUGAGGAUCUAUUCCUACAGCAUCUGUCUUUAGAAUCAUAUAUUCAGACAACUCAAGGGUUUAGCCAUUUGAAUUUCCAAAUUUUGCAAAGAUGAGUAGUGUUCUAGUAUCAGGCUGUAAACAUCGUUUGUGUUUGUCUUGUACUGCUUGUGUUUUUGAGAGAGAUCAUUUUUAUACUUCAAUAAAGAACAGUGAGCUCCCUGAGACA